UACAGAGGUCUCAAGCGUUGUUCGGACUCAUUGGGCGUAAAGGGUGCGUAGGUGGCGUGGUAAGUCGGGUGUGAAAUUUCGGAGCUUAACUCCGAAACUGCAUUCGAUACUGCCGUGCUUGAGGACUGGAGAGGAGACUGGAAUUUACGGUGUAGCAGUGAAAUGCGUAGAGAUCGUAAGGAACACCGAUGGCGAAGGCAGCCUCCUGGGCCAGCACUGACGCUCAUGCACGAAAGCGUGGGGAGCAAACAGG
Molecule: ribosomal RNA, 253 nt
Filed under: uncultured bacterium
Lineage: Bacteria
Description: partial 16S ribosomal RNA
Rfam family: Bacterial small subunit ribosomal RNA
Source: RNAcentral